This is a long non-coding RNA of Vespa crabro (European hornet), 5211 nucleotides long. RefSeq lists it as uncharacterized. NCBI's taxonomy places the organism in Eukaryota, Metazoa, Arthropoda, Insecta, Hymenoptera, Vespidae. The transcript has 2 exons. The record is from RefSeq and is a predicted model, not a curated record.
UCUCUCUCUCUUUCUUUCUCUCUCUCUCUCUCUUUCUCUCGUUUUCUCAUUCUCUCUCUCUCUCUCUCUUUCUCUCUCACUCUUUCUCUCUUUCUCUUUCUCGCGUACUCUUUUGCUCCUCGAACGGAGCGCGAGUCGGAGGAAGAGAGGCGCACAGGAUGGCGGGGCGAGAGUCGGCUUACUACGCGGCGAAACGCCUCGACGGCGUUCAGUCGUCAGCGAUCAGACCGCCGGGCAGUGCGGACCCACUCUUCCGAACAGUCACUCACUCUCUCUCCUACUCUCCUCUCUUUAUCUCGUAUACAUUAUACCCUGCAACUCCUACGUACCUGUCCAACUCAUAUUCGCGAUGUAUACAUAUAUAUAUGUAUGUAUAUAUAUAUAUACAUAUAUGUAUAUAUAUAUGUAUAUAUAUAUGUAUAUAUAUGUAUAUAUAUAUAUACACACGUCUACCAAAGGACUUCUCGACUAUACUGGAAUAUUUAUUUCUACGAUCUUGGAAUAGUUUUCGAAGAAUCAAUCCACUCUUCCUUUCCUUCAAUUCCAAUUUCGAAUUUCUGGAAUUUCGAAAUCGCCGUCCGUGGACUCGGUAACGAGAAGAAUACGUUCGUAAUACGUGACUCGAUAUUAAUCGAGAAAAAGAGAGAUAGAGAGAGAGAGAGAGAGAAAAAGAGAGAGAGACAGAGAGACAGAGAGAGAGAAAGAGAGAGAGAGAGAGAAAGAGAGGGAGAUAGAGAGAGAAGAAUCCGAGAAUCGAACACGUUUUGGGAGAUCGUCGAAAAUCGUAAACGAACACGAAUUCGAACGAGGGAUGGAUGGAUUCACUCGGCCAAUUUAUUCGAGGAAAGAUAAAGUGAACGUCCUCCUACGAGUAAAACGAAGACACAUCAUCGAGACGAGAAAAAUGGAAUCAUCUAACAACGUCGGAAGAUCUUGUAAAUGACGGAAGAGGAUAGAUAGUGUACGAUUUUAUACGACGAAAGUUAUUAUUUUUUUUUUAGUUCUCUUCUUUUUUUCCUUUCUUUCUUUCGUUCUUUUUUUUUUCUUUGUUCCUUGUUUUUUCUUCUCUCUCUCAUUCUCUUUUUCUUUUUUUUUUUUGUUUUUUUGUUUUUUUUUUUUUUUUGACAAUUUUACUUUUCGCCGUGAUAUAAACGAAAUCGAGGAGAAUUUUAAUCGCGAGCAACGGAACAACGGGGGUGUUUUAGACAGGGCCCAAGUGAGAAGGAAUUUGUAACGAGUCGAGAAGUUUGUGCGACUUUUACGUGCCGCGUAAGCACGUGGGUAUUCGAAUUCACGGAGAAACAAACAACUACACAACACACUUUCUUGUCAAUGAACGAGGACGAUAGAGAGACUUCGAUCGUAACGAAGAUUAAACACGACUCAAAAGCAAGCAAGCAAGCAAGCAAGAAAGCAAGAAAGAAAGAAAGAAAGAAAGAGAGAAAGAAAGAGAGAAAUGAGAAAGAAAGAAAAGAAAAAAGAAAAACAAUCGCACGAGAGAAGAAAGGGCGGGGUGAGUCGAAUCGGUUUUUAUACAACGACUCAUUUUUUCAUGUGCGGAUAACGAAGAAGGAAACAGUGUUACGAAGAUAAAAGUAAAAACGUAUUUAAUGUGCGGUAUGAUAAUAUCGUAACAGUGUGGGAGAAAGCUGCACGACGAUAUUUUCUCGAAGGAAAAUUUCAUAAUCGGGCGUAUUUUAUUGUCGAGCAAGGAAAAUGUAUGCGCGGACGCGUUAUCCGCCGACGGAUGGACGAUGAUUCGAGGACGAUCGAGAAUGCGACUUGCGAGACACGGCCAAGCUCGCGGAGAGGAAUAAUACGCGCGUCUCUUCGCGUGCGGACGGUAAGAAUAGUUUGAUCGUUAAAUUUCAAAGGGGGAUGCCGAGUUACUUUACGAUUUAUGACGCAUUCAUCGCUUUUAUAGUAAGAAUACUAUCCUAUGUGAAUUUGAUCGAAAGAUGAGAGUUAAAAGUGUAAUCGGCAAAAGUCGAAUAAUCAACGAAGAAGAUACGAAAAAGUGAAUGAGUGAGUGAGUGAGUGAGAGAGAGAGAGAGAGAGAGAGAGAGAGAAAGUGAGAGAGAGAGAGAGAGUAUAGGAGCCAAACGAUACGGCCCUGGUCUCUCGGUGGUUGAUAGGGUAUAAUCAUGCCGAGUUUCAUAUCUCGAAGGGGCCACGGGAAGAUGGUCCAACAUCUGCCGCUGCAGGGAAUCUCUGCCCACAUGCUGGCCAGCAUACGGACGCACACGUACGCGUUCGCGUACAAGCGCAAAAAGUGACGUAGGUACACGGUGGGACGUCAUGUAAAUUCAUUCGAAACACAUGGCAGGACCCGAGAGCGCGCGGCGUUUCUCUUCUCUGCAAAAGGCUUUCGAGAAAAGGAAUCUCGAAGAUGGCAGAAAAAGAGACCAUAACUUUGACUUCGACUUUGGUACUCCGGCUAUUUCAGGCCGUGUCACGGAUCAAAUAAAUCCCUAUCCUAGUAGAGUUCCUUCCUCCCUUUUGUAUUUUCUUUUCGAGCGGUCUUCCUUUGAAACGAUCGAUAUUAGUUAAAUAUAUCUAAAUAAUUUGAAAUUAAUAUAAAAAGAUGUCAAAUCUUGACAAAAGGUCCUUUCUUUCUUUUUUUCUUUUUUUUCUCAUUUUCUUUUUCUUCCCAACAAUGUAUCAAUUUUUACAUUCGAUAUAAAAAUUAAUAGCGAGAGCUUGAUAGCAACGCACGAUAUUUCGCCAUUGAAACGUUAAUGACGCCGGAGGGACGUUGAAAAAUGAGGCUCGGGGAGAAGCGGAGUAGGAGAAGUAAGUGGUAUGGAGGCCGAGGGGGUGGACGGGCUCGACCGAGAAAAGAGAUACGCUCGCAGCGCGCGCGGAAUUGCAGAACUGCCUUUAAUUAAAGUCAUCAAGCUAGUUGAACAAUUAUCAUUAAUUAUGGACGUCGCUUGGUCGCUCACACGAGCCAUCGCUGCCGCUAGAGUUGUAUGUACGUAUGUCGGAAACGUUUGACUUUCCUUGCGUGCUGCGGCUUCGUUUCUACGUUAAAGAAAGAAAGAAAGAAAGAAAGAAAGAAAGAAAGAAAGAAAUAAAGAAAGAAAAAGAAAAAGAGGAAAGAGAGAGAGAGAGAGAGAGAGAGAGAGAGAUAAACUGAAACAGAAGGAGAAGAGCCACGAUGGAAAGUCGUAAAAUAUAGAAACUUGAAAGAUUUGAAAAUAACUCGCUUCGUCGAGUUGUCAUUCUCUUUAUAAUUUGAUAAUGAAUUUCCAAAAUCGUUUUUGCUUUCGUUUUUCGUUUCUUUCACUUCUUCUCUUAUUUCUUUUUUUUUUUCCUUUUUCCUUUCUCUUUCACUUCACAUAAAAUUCAUUCGAAAUCGUUUCCAAAAUAAAAUAGUCAGGAUCGUCGACUUUUUGUUAUUCGUUAAAAAGUAAACGAAGCGUACCAUGGUCCCCGUUUUAUCUUUUUCCUUCUUCUUCUUUUUCUUCUUCCUUUAUUAUUAUUUUUUUUUUUUUUUUACUUCUUUGACUUCUUUACUGAUGACCGAAAAAAAAGGGAGACGAAGAAGAUGAUAGCUAGUUCAGUUUGGUUCGCGAUAAAAAACAAGCGGCAGAAAGAAAGAAAAAAGUGUUGCUUCUCUCGGAGCAGCGUCGAUUUCGAAAUCCAGAUGUACUGAAAAGACAGAGAGAGAGAGAGAGAGGAAGAGUGGAUCGUGUGCCACAAUAAAGAUAACGAUUUACGUUCGACUUUAUCGCUGGGUAGCCGGGGCCAAUGACUCGAUGAACGGGGAGAGCUCGUGUCUCGAUUCCAUGAUUUAAGUUCCGUUGUUGCCACCGAUUCGAGCCAAUCGCUUCGUUUUUACUGAUUUGGAUAAAAGAGAGAAAAAGGGAAAGAUGAGUUUCUCGACGAAACGAUAACAAAGUUCUACUAUAAAUUCGUAACAUUAAUUACAUUGUUUUCGAAUUAUAAUGUUUUCAUAUCGCACUAUUUUCUUCGAUGAACGAAGAACACGUGAAGAUUAAAAUAUUUCUUUUCUUCCUUGGCAUGCUCGUUUUCUUUGAAAUUAUCGAUAACUAUAGUUUAGGUUUAUAGACAUAUGUGCAUGUACAUAUGUAAGAACAAUGUUUUAUUUUAUGGUAAACACACGACCUACCUUAAAUACGAUGUAAUACGUUUACGUUUCCCCUUUUCGAUCCCUACAAUUUUACUUCUCUCUUUCCCCUUUCUUUUUCUUCUUUUUCUUUUUUUCUUUCUAACGAGACAAUGACGUUAAUAACGAUAAUGAUCCUGUUAAGAGUUCUUAGGGGGCUUAUUCUUAUGUAAAAAGAAAAAAAAAAGAAAAAGAAAAGAAAAAAGGGAAAAAAUAAUAAAAAAAAAAAAAAAAAGAAAAAAAAAUAAAGAAAAGAAAAUUUAAGACCGGGACGAGUUUACGACUGCGAAUACCGGUAGAACAGGCCGUAUUUCUUCGCGAAAUUUAACGAACCUUCGCGCAAUGGGACACCAUUAAAAAAUUCCGGAGCGUCAUGUAGCACGGCGCACGCAAUAGCGAUAAAUGCCGAGGGAGGAAGAGAGAGAAAGAGAGAAAGAGAGAGAGAGAGAGAGAGAAAGAGUUGGAUGAGAGAGGGCAGCGGAUUAUGGAAGGCAGAGGAUAAGACUGACGAGAGGUUUAACAUCACGCAAACUUAAGUAAAAACAUUAUCGAUCGGCUAACGCGAUGCGCUCGCGCUGCGUUAAGUUCGUAUCGUAAAUGGCGAUCGUAAAAGAUCGAACGCCAUGGGAAUAAGAUUAUUUCUUAUUUCCGUACGAUUGGAAUACCUAUACCAUAAGUAUAUUUCGAUUCUCGAUAAUUUCUUAUAUUGCGUGAUUAUUAUCAAUGUUUACGACAUUAUAAAUUGUAUCGUUCGAGAAAAAUGUUGGAAUUUUUUCAAUUCCUCCCUUUGCUUCCGAGUAAAAACUUCACCUAAGGAGCGAUAAAUUUUAAUUGUUCUGACCUCUGAUAAUUUUUCCUGGAAGGAUAUAAUUUCGAAUAAACGUAAUGGUCGAUCGAAAAAAUAUUUCACAAUGGCGUACCAAGGAUUAAAGAGAUACAGAAACUUAUAUUACGAGGGAUUAGAAAAACGUCAUUGUGAUUAUCCAUAGCAAAAAGAAGAUGGAGCUUAAAUAAACGUUCAAAUAAUUGAUCGUAUUUAAAAUGAAAUUUUUCUAUUAAAAGAAAAAAAAAAAAAAACU